GGGUGAGUAACACGUGGGUAACCUGCCCUAAAGUCUGGGAUACCACUUGGAAACAGGUGCUAAUACCGGAUAACAACAAUAGCUGCAUGGCUAUUGCUUAAAAGGCGGCGAAAGCUGUCGCUAAAGGAUGGACCCGCGGUGCAUUAGCUAGUUGGUAAGGUAAUGGCUUACCAAGGCGACGAUGCAUAGCCGAGUUGAGAGACUGAUCGGCCACAUUGGGACUGAGACACGGCCCAAACUCCUACGGGAGGCAGCAGUAGGGAAUCUUCCACAAUGGGCGAAAGCCUGAUGGAGCAACGCCGCGUGAGUGAAGAAGGUUUUCGGAUCGUAAAGCUCUGUUGUUGGUGAAGAAGGAUAGAGGUAGUAACUGGCCCCUAUUUGACGAUAAUCAACCAGAAAGUCACGGCUAACUACGUGCCAGCAGCCGCGGUAAUACGUAGGUGGCAAGCGUUGUCCGGAUUUAUUGGGCGUAAAGCGAGCGCAGGCGGAAAGAUAAGUCUGAUGUGAAAGCCCCCGGCUUAACCGAGGAAUUGCAUCGGAAACUGUGUUUCUUGAGUGCAGAAGAGGAGAGUGGAACUCCAUGUGUAGCGGUGGAAUGCGUAGAUAUAUGGAAGAACACCAGUGGCGAAGGCGGCUCUCUGGUCUGUAACUGACGCUGAGGCUCGAAAGCAUGGGUAGCGAACAGGAUUAGAUACCCUGGUAGUCCAUGCCGUAA
This 715-nucleotide ribosomal RNA is filed under the name uncultured bacterium. Its description in RNAcentral is "bacterial SSU rRNA". It matches the Rfam family "Bacterial small subunit ribosomal RNA", at positions 104 to 805 of the family's 1533-position model. The record is from RNAcentral.